This 66-nucleotide transfer RNA is filed under the name human gut metagenome. It matches the Rfam family "tRNA". Rfam says of the family: Transfer RNA (tRNA) molecules are approximately 80 nucleotides in length. Their secondary structure includes four short double-helical elements and three loops (D, anti-codon, and T loops). Further hydrogen bonds mediate the characteristic L-shaped molecular structure. tRNAs have two regions of fundamental functional importance: the anti-codon, which is responsible for specific mRNA codon recognition, and the 3' end, to which the tRNAs corresponding amino acid is attached (by aminoacyl-tRNA synthetases). tRNAs cope with the degeneracy of the genetic code in two manners: having more than one tRNA (with a specific anti-codon) for a particular amino acid; and 'wobble' base-pairing, i.e. permitting non-standard base-pairing at the 3rd anti-codon position. The record is from RNAcentral.
GGUGUAGCUCAAUUGGCAGAGCAGCUGAUUUGUAAUCAGCAGGUUGCGGGUUCAAGUCCCAUCGCC